AUGAAGAAAGAGUUCACUCCUAAAUGUUUAAGGAGAAUAGACCCCUGUGACCAAUUCAAAUGGAACUGGAUUCCAUCUGAAGGAAAAUCAGGAGGCAUCUUGUGUGGGGUUCGCCAUGAUACUCUGGAAAUUGUGUCUUGCAACAAAGGCAAGUACAUUCUCCAAGUUAUCCUUCGUGACAAGAAUAGAAAAUGUAAAUGGGGUCUGUUGGUGGUCUAUGGGUCGGCCCAUGAGGAAUUUAAGGAGGAAUUCUUGCUUGAAUUGGCUGCCAUGUGCAAUAGUAUGCAAAUUCCUUAUAUAGUGGGCGGGGACUUCAAUAUUCUUAGACACUCAGGAGAGAAGAACAAGAAGAUGGCGAACCAUAAAUCCAUAGACCUCUUUAAUUCCAUCAUCAAUACCCUAGCCCUCAGAGAAAUUCAUGUUAGCGGAGGCAAGUACACUUGGACUAAUAAUCAGGCUCAUCCAACCCUGGAAAAACUUGACCGC
Molecule: ribosomal RNA, 486 nt
Filed under: Triticum aestivum (bread wheat)
Lineage: Eukaryota; Viridiplantae; Streptophyta; Magnoliopsida; Poales; Poaceae
Description: partial small subunit ribosomal RNA
Source: RNAcentral